GAAAGCCGGAUGAAUCGAAAGGUUCCUGUCCGGUUUGGAGCCGGGGAAAAGCCGGAGAUCACGUCAAAGGCUUACCUAUGGCUAU
RNAcentral lists this non-coding RNA (85 nucleotides) under Acetivibrio alkalicellulosi. The record is from RNAcentral. Lineage: Bacteria; Bacillati; Bacillota; Clostridia; Acetivibrionales; Acetivibrionaceae.